RNAcentral lists this long non-coding RNA (256 nucleotides) under Lathyrus oleraceus (garden pea). RNAcentral describes it as "Pisum sativum (pea) long non-coding RNA (PSAT_LNC028115)". Lineage: Eukaryota; Viridiplantae; Streptophyta; Magnoliopsida; Fabales; Fabaceae. The record is from RNAcentral.
AAAGAUUCAAACCACAUUUUAGAUUAUGAACACGCUUAUGCAAAUGGGCCUUUGAAACAAAGAGAUCUCAUGGGUAAACCACAAAUGAAUAGAUUUUGGAUUAGUAAUGUAAAAAGAUUCAAACCACAUUUUAGAUUAUGAACACGCUUAUGCAAAUGGGCCUUUGAAACAAAGAGAUCUCAUGGGUAAACCACAAAUGGCCGGACAAAAUUGGGAUAUGACACAUACUGCUUGAAAAGAUAGGAGUAUGAGAGAA